Molecule: long non-coding RNA, 711 nt
Organism: Biomphalaria glabrata
Lineage: Eukaryota; Metazoa; Mollusca; Gastropoda; Planorbidae
Exons: 3
Source: RefSeq, a predicted model, not a curated record
GUGAAUGAAGACCCACAACACGAGCGGUGCAACAGGUGUUUUAUCUCCCAGUCUAGUCUAGCAUAUAAAUAACAAUGAACAGUACGUCACACGGGUGUCUAGCUAAACCACACACCGCAGAGGCUACCAACUAAGAAAAGAAAUUAAACAAACAGCACAACACUACAAAACAGAAGCUUUUUUUUUUUUUAGGCCUAAAUCGAUUAUGUUGGCCGGUGUAUAAAUAGGCCUUAGGUGUGGACACCACGUGGUUGUAACAGACCCCAAGUGAGAGACCGUUUGGUUCGGCCUUCAGAGAUAGUACCGUUAGACUCUAGUAUCCUAGAAUAAAUUAAUUGAACGUAGCUCAUCAACGUGGAAAAGAUAAUUGAUGCUAACGAGAGGCCUCUUCACAAAUAGAUUAGUUUAACAAGGCCACAACAGUAGAUCUAAAGCUGAGAGUUACGUGCAAUGAAGUUGAUUCCCAGAGACGUGCCUAUGUGAUGUGUUUUCUUGGUAUCGAAUUCGCAGCAUCUUAAAGGUUAAAGAAGCAAAAUUAAAAAAAAACUUUUUAAAAAGCAAAAGUUUAUCUAAAGGUUGUUUGCUUUGGUGUAUACCCUCAUGGAUAUUACCUAAGUGAUCCGCACCCAAACAUUCCACCAACUGGACAAACUUAUUCAAAACAUAUGCAUUACUGACCUGACAGCUGCUGCAAGUCAAGUGCGCUAUGAC